UUUUAGACUGGCACUCCUAGAAUCUCUCCGAACAUCUAGGAGCGAAACUCUAAAAGA
RNAcentral lists this microRNA precursor (57 nucleotides) under Anolis carolinensis (green anole). Its description in RNAcentral is "Aca-Mir-5406_pre stem-loop". Lineage: Eukaryota; Metazoa; Chordata; Lepidosauria; Squamata; Anolidae. The record is from RNAcentral.